This is a long non-coding RNA of Octopus sinensis (East Asian common octopus), 145 nucleotides long. RefSeq lists it as uncharacterized. NCBI's taxonomy places the organism in Eukaryota, Metazoa, Mollusca, Cephalopoda, Octopoda, Octopodidae. The record is from RefSeq and is a predicted model, not a curated record. The transcript is spliced from 2 exons.
AUGUAUGCAUAUGUAUAUAUAUACACAUACACAUGUAUAGACCGUUAGAAUAAGUACUAGGCUUGCAGGGAAUAAGUCCUGGGGGCGAUUUGUACGACUACAGGUGGUGGUCCAGCACGGCUGCACUCAAAUAACGGAAACAAGU